GUUACUUUGGCAGAUUUUAAUGCGUUAGGUUUAGGACCUAAAAAUAUAGAGCGUCUAUAAGUAAUA
Molecule: transfer RNA, 66 nt
Filed under: Petrolisthes haswelli
Lineage: Eukaryota; Metazoa; Arthropoda; Malacostraca; Decapoda; Porcellanidae
Description: tRNA-Leu
Source: RNAcentral